UAGGGAAUUUUCGUCAAUGGGGGGAACCCUGAACGAGCAAUGCCGCGUGUGUGAAGAAGGUCUUCGGAUCGUAAAGCACUGUUGUAAGUGAAGAAUGCCAUAUAGAGGAAAUGCUAUGUGGGUGACGGUAGCUUACCAGAAAGCCACGGCUAACUACGUGCCAGCAGCCGCGGUAAUACGUAGGUGGCAAGCGUUAUCCGGAAUCAUUGGGCGUAAAGGGUGCGUAGGUGGCACGAUAAGUCUGAAGUAAAAGGCAACAGCUCAACUGUUGUAUGCUUUGGAAACUGUCGAGCUAGAGUGCAGAAGAGGGCGAUGGAAUUCCAUGUGUAGCGGUAAAAUGCGUAGAUAUAUGGAGGAACACCAGUGGCGAAGGCGGUCGCCUGGCCUGUAACUGACACUGAUGCACGAAAGCGUGGGGAUCGAACAGGAUUAGAUACC
This 438-nucleotide ribosomal RNA is filed under the name uncultured bacterium. RNAcentral describes it as "bacterial SSU rRNA". It matches the Rfam family "Bacterial small subunit ribosomal RNA", at positions 355 to 786 of the family's 1533-position model. The record is from RNAcentral.